RNA transcript from Ipomoea nil (Japanese morning glory), 1335 nucleotides. RefSeq lists it as uncharacterized. The transcript is spliced from 10 exons. The record is from RefSeq and is a predicted model, not a curated record. NCBI's taxonomy places the organism in Eukaryota, Viridiplantae, Streptophyta, Magnoliopsida, Solanales, Convolvulaceae.
CCAUUUCUUACUCUGUCAUAUCCUGAUUGUGUGAUUUCAACCCCCAAUGCGCCAAGCCAAGAUCCUAGGGUUAAAAAAAAUGAGGUAAAUCUUUUUCCUCCCAAGAUUCACAGAUUAUUCAAUCAUGGAGUUGAUGAGCAGCGUUACCGUCCAUCUUCAGUUCUGUGCAUCAAAUUAUUCUAUUCCUUUUACUAUUCAAUCCAGCUCGCUUUUCGAGUGGCUGCCAUUAUUGAAAUACCCACACUUCACUUCAUACGCUGAUAACUCCCCAAAACACCAUCUAAAAGGGUAUUUGCCAUUUAUCUUACUCCAAUAGUAGAGAAAAGGAAUGCCAAAUUGGGAGCUCAGGAAAUGCUGCAAUCACGAGCAAGUGGUCUUUCUUGCCACACUUGGUGUCUGCACUGUCGUCAUUCUUGCUCUAUGGAGGACAGUUCUGCUACUGCCAUUCAAACUAGUUACUGUAUUCAUUCAUGAAGCUAGUCAUGCUAUUGCUUGCAAACUUACUUGCGGUCAUGUGGAAGGCAUCCAGAUUCAUGCUGAUGAAGGUGGCAGUACCGAAACACGUGGUGGUGUAUAUUGGUUCAUUCUACCAGCUGGAUACCUCGGUUCGUCUUUCUGGGGAAUGGUUUUAGUCCUCGCCUCUACAAAUCUUCUGACAGCAAGAGUUGCCGCUGGAUGUUUAGCUGUCACGCUACUUGUUGUUCUCUGUGUGGCUAAAAAUUGGACUCUUCGGGGGCUUUGUAUCGGUCUUAUUCUCUUCCUUGCUGUCAUAUGGAUUCUGCAGGAAACAACCAAAAUCCGUAUUCUACGGUACAUUAUUCUGUUCAUUGGUGUAAUGAACAGCUUGUUUUCUGUCUGUGAUAUUUACAGUGAUCUGAUAUCUCGAAGAGUUCAUACCAGCGAUGCUGAGAAGUUUGCGGAAGUGUGCCCGUGUCCUUGUACUGGUGUCGGGUGGGGUGUCAUCUGGUGAGCAUACUUGCAGUACUGAAGUGCCAAGGGACUCAUAUCAUUCUUGUUUCUCUGCACAGCAACGUACCUCGGUCUGGUGAUCCUAUCUUGAGGGCGAGGGAAACCAAAUAGAAAAGUCGAAUAUAUUGUUCAUGCAAACUGCCAAGUACAAACAACUUUGUCAUCAUAUAUACAUUGUAUAUUGAGGUUGAUAUUGUUUGUUGUUGUUCAAAAUGGGAGAAUUUUAAGUCUGUCAUGGCAGCCUCUUCUUUAGCAGUUGCUUGGUGAAGAAUGGGGACUGUAACAGAGCAGAAAUUUGUCAUGGAUUCUUCAUGUAAUUGAAACUUAUCACACAUGGAAAAUAAAAUGGCCAUAGCUUUACAAUUU